CCUGAUUUAUCUUCGCUGUCCUAGCAUCUGCCUGCAAUGCAGAAGACCUGGGUUCGAUCCCUGGGUCAGGA
RNAcentral lists this transfer RNA (71 nucleotides) under Ovis aries (sheep). It matches the Rfam family "tRNA". Rfam says of the family: Transfer RNA (tRNA) molecules are approximately 80 nucleotides in length. Their secondary structure includes four short double-helical elements and three loops (D, anti-codon, and T loops). The record is from Rfam by way of RNAcentral. Lineage: Eukaryota; Metazoa; Chordata; Mammalia; Artiodactyla; Bovidae.